This is a long non-coding RNA of Rosa rugosa (rugosa rose), 2792 nucleotides long. RefSeq lists it as uncharacterized. The record is from RefSeq and is a predicted model, not a curated record. NCBI's taxonomy places the organism in Eukaryota, Viridiplantae, Streptophyta, Magnoliopsida, Rosales, Rosaceae. The transcript has 5 exons.
GGCUCAACUAAGGCUAGUCAGGGAUUCGAGAGAAGGAGGAAGACCAUAACAAAGACGUACUUCGUUGGCUGAGAAUUGCGCAACCGAUUUGCGGGUAAUCAAAAAUGGUGUAAUUGCUGAGUCAUAGGUUCUGCAUGUUGUCAUUCCAUUCGUUUCUGUUCGAUUUAGCACUUAUUUGUGAAACAUUGUUGGGUGUGUGUCUGAUUUGGUGUUUUAUCAAUUCGAGUCUUUUAUGUGUUUCAGUUGGAUAUAACUUUGUUUAGUAUUGAUUUCAAAACUGUCCGAGCUAAUCUAGAAGACGGAGUUCAGAGCAAGAUGUUCAUAGGUAUGCUGGCACUUCGUUUUCCAUUCACUUUUGAUUAUCCAAAUCAAUCAAUGUGAAAGAGAAGCCUCAAAGUACCCAUCACUCAUAGCUUGAAAUGGAUAGAAAGAAGGAAUGAAAGAAAGAGAGAGGUCCGUUCGAUCUUUUGUUGUUGGUUGCUGAUCAAAGGAUUGUUGAUAGGGAGAGAAUUUUCAUCUGUUCUUUGUUUGUCGGGUUAAAAGAUUAUUCCCAACCACUAUCUUGCUUCAAGUCAUUUUCUUCAGUGAGUACCAGACCCAGCAAGGGUAACCAAAGCACCACAGCAAGUAAGUUUUCAAAUGUUGCAGAUAUAUAUUCAUCAGGGUAAUUGAUUCUGUCUUUGCUCAAUUUCUGGUUUUCAAGUAAAGUCAGUUGCUUCUUCACAGCUAAAAUGGGUUCCAUUUAUGCAAUUUGGUGAAUUUGAGGGAUAGAUUUUUUUAUUUUUUUUUGUGUUUGCAUGUAAUUUUGUAACAUUUGUUCUUAGUUUUUGAGGGUGUACUUUGUUUAGUGAUAUACUGUUAUACAGCUGCAAUCAGGGAUGUAGUGAAAGACAUCAAUUGAGAUUGGUAUACGACGGUAGUGUAUCUGUUUCAUUUGAUCGAGUGUGGUUUCUGCUUAUUUUCAGUUAUUUGCUACUUUAUUUUCUGCUAUACCUGUUUCAUUUGAUCAACUGUGGUUUCUGCUUACUUUUAGUUGUUUACUACUUUGUUUUUAUUUGAACUGUCCAUAUUUGAAAUUCAUGGAGCACAUGGGUACCUUAGAAACAUGAACUGUACUACAGAAGAUCAUAGUAAAUGAGAAGGAGAGGGAAUUCAUGAUUAUAUGUAAUGAAAUCAAAAUUGAUCGCGAGAUUACUGCUGGAACUGAGAUAGUAACAUAAUGAGUCUGGUAUAACACCAAAAUUGGUCAUGUAUUGUUAAAGGUGGAAGUAGUACAUAGUAGCUUCCUUUAGCAUGGUAUAUAUUUGGUUAAUGUGAGAGUUCACAGUUACUUGCAUAUACUCUUGCAAAGGAAAGGGUUGGUCUCCUACUUUGAUAUUCAACAGAUGAAGUUUCUCAUUCAGAGGAAAUGAAUUGCUAUUAAUUAUUUCAGAUUUCAGUUUAGCCUCUGUUCCACCUUCUCUUUUAAGUUUUGCGUAUAAAUUCUAUAGCUUUUCAGCACCACCAGUUCAGAAAAAACAGGAAAUUAAAUAGAAUAGAAAACUAUAUAAUGUUCCACAGUCAAUACUCCAAUUCUCAAAAGCAGCUCACUAUAAUUUGGCUUUGUUUGCCAUGGACUGGGAACCACAUAGUUUGAAGAGACAAUUAAUUGACAUAAGGUCAUUUGUUAGUCAUUUGUGCUCUGCUUGGUGUCUAGGUUUGGAUAUCUGUUAGUCAUUUGUUCUUUAUGGCCCUGUUUGGUGUCUAGCUUUGGAUUGUGGAUCCAAGCUCACGUUUAGAUUGAAUGAUUAAUAAUGGAAGAAACAGAGACUAACUUCCAACUUUGAUCCAAUUUAAGUAAAGAGUUUACAUCCCACCAUUUUGUGUUCAUCAGGAGGAGUUUCCUCCCUGGAAACAAUCCAACUUUCUUUGAAUUGAAAAUUUAAGUUCAAUUCUAGCAGCUAGGUUAUUCUUCCCCACUGUGUUCAUAUUGGUUGUUUGUCACUCUCCCUUUUGAACAUGAAAUUGAUGAUCUCUGAAGUUGGUUUAGAUUACAAGUAAACCAUAUUGUUCAGUGAGAUGAGUUUUGAUAAAAGAUGACAUAUAGGCAUUUGAUUGCUCAUAGUGACAUCAACUUGGGUUCACUUUAUGAUUCUAUCUUGAUAUGAUGUAUACCAAGUUUCCUUUUGAUUCAAGUCAACUUGAAAGUCAAUGAAUCCGUAAUCGUUAUAUAAUUAGUUAAUGAAUGCAUUGCUGGAUCAACAACUUUUUAAGCUUAGUACAUCUAAGUCUGACCAACUUUAUCUCUUAUCUGUUCAUCUAUAUAUCAUAGUUGCAUUUUUUCCCCCAGCUUCAUCAUGUACUCAUCAAGUGUGCUUAAUAUCUGGAUGAAGAUUCAUAGUUGAAGGCUACAGACUUUGGCCUGUCAGAUUUUGUGAAACCAGAUGAAAAGUUUAUCAAAAUUGUUAGUAGUACAUACUGUGUAGCCCGCAAAGUGUUACAUAUGGCUUAUGGUACAGAGGCUGAUGUCUGGAGCGUAGGUGUGAUUGCACACAUUCUAUUGUGUGGCAGCUGUCCAUUUUGGCCUUGAACGAAGUUUGGCAUUUUUCGGGCAGUUCUAAAAGUUGAUCCAAGUUUCAAUGAACCACCUUGGCCACAUUCUCUACAGAGGCAAAAGUAAUUUUGUCAAGCGCCUAUUGAAUCAAGACCCACGGAAAAGAAUUACCACUGCACAAACGUGAAGUCAUCCCUGCCUUGAACAUCAUAACACUGUUAAACUUCCUCUGGACGUAAUAAUAUUCAAGCUCAUGAAG